This 253-nucleotide ribosomal RNA is filed under the name uncultured bacterium. RNAcentral's name for it is "partial 16S ribosomal RNA". It matches the Rfam family "Bacterial small subunit ribosomal RNA", at positions 524 to 776 of the family's 1533-position model. The record is from RNAcentral.
UACGUAGGGUGCGAGCGUUGUCCGGAAUUAUUGGGCGUAAAGAGCUCGUAGGCGGCUUGUCGCGUCGGAUGUGAAAGCCCGGGGCUUAACCCCGGGUCUGCAUUCGAUACGGGCAGGCUAGAGUUCGGUAGGGGAGAUCGGAAUUCCUGGUGUAGCGGUGAAAUGCGCAGAUAUCAGGAGGAACACCGGUGGCGAAGGCGGCUCACUGGGCUCCACCUGACGCUGAGGCGCGAAAGCGUGGGGAGCGAACCGG